RNAcentral lists this ribosomal RNA (484 nucleotides) under uncultured bacterium. RNAcentral's name for it is "partial 16S ribosomal RNA". It matches the Rfam family "Bacterial small subunit ribosomal RNA", at positions 30 to 507 of the family's 1533-position model. The record is from RNAcentral.
AUUGAACGCUGGCGGCAGGCCUAACACAUGCAAGUCGAGCGGAUGAAGGGAGCUUGCUCCUGGCUUCAGCGGCGGACGGGUGAGUAAUGCCUAGGAAUCUGCCUGGUAGUGGGGGAUAACGUCCGGAAACGGGCGCUAAUACCGCAUACGUCCUGAGGGAGAACGUGGGGGAUCUUCGGACCUCACGCUAUCAGAUGAGCCUAGGUCGGAUUAGCUAGUUGGUGGGGUAAAGGCCUACCAAGGCGACGAUCCGUAACUGGUCUGAGAGGAUGAUCAGUCAAAACGGAAACGAGACAAGGUCCAGACUCCUACGGGAGGCAGGAGUGGGGAAUAUUGGACAAUGGGCGAAAGCCUGAUCCAGCCAUGCCGCGUGGGUGAAGAAGGUCUUCGGAUUGUAAAGCACUUUAAGUUGGGAGGAAGGGCAGUAAGUUAAUACCUUGCUGUUUUGACGUGACCAACAGAAUAAGCACCGGGUAACUUCGUG